Non-coding RNA from Vicugna pacos (alpaca), 145 nucleotides. The record is from RefSeq and is a predicted model, not a curated record. Lineage: Eukaryota; Metazoa; Chordata; Mammalia; Artiodactyla; Camelidae.
UGACUGAAGUUCAGAUGUGUGCGCCUUCAUCUCCAGGGGUCGCCCGUUCACCUUGAUGAGGCCGUUACCUCGCUUGCAGUGAGCCACGUUUGCAGUGGCCUUCUUCUUGCGCCCGAAGACCUGCACCGACUGCAGAGGGCUAUUG